Small nucleolar RNA from Phoenix dactylifera (date palm), 85 nucleotides. RefSeq annotates it as small nucleolar RNA U54. The record is from RefSeq and is a predicted model, not a curated record. Lineage: Eukaryota; Viridiplantae; Streptophyta; Magnoliopsida; Arecales; Arecaceae.
UGUUUAAGGAUUACAGCCAAUUACUUUUGGCGAUAUAUGCUAUUCUGAGAAAGUUAAAGAGCCGACAUUGGAAUAUAUGAGAGUU